RNAcentral lists this unclassified non-coding RNA (3483 nucleotides) under Monomorium pharaonis (pharaoh ant). RNAcentral's name for it is "uncharacterized LOC118646830, transcript variant X1". Lineage: Eukaryota; Metazoa; Arthropoda; Insecta; Hymenoptera; Formicidae. The record is from RNAcentral.
UAACUGUGAAGACCGUUUCCUGCGACCGUCCAACCAGAAGGGUCUACACCGAGGGGUAGCCACAACACGACGCCUCCUGAGCCGACCAAGCUGACAGCCAAUCAAGAGAGUCACCUAAAGGAUAUCCCGGGAGCUACUCAUUGAGAUAUCCGUGGGAUUGCCUUCGUCUGUCUGGGAUAAUUUGGGAUAUCCUCAGGAUAAAGUGUGCUGUGUGGGUUACGGCCGGCUAGGCCGUUAUUUGUUCUCGGAAGUCUGUAUUAAAUUAAAUCUCUCUGAUAAAAGCGUGUGAGACAUUAAAGUGGAUAGACCUAACCUCCCCGGUGGGCUGGGGCCGGCGGAUGGCCACGUGCCAUCCCCGCCUUCGCCUCCAUAUGAAGAGAUAUCGAACGAUCUGAAGAAAUUUUGCACACAAAUCAGUAAAAAUAUGUCUCAAGAAGAAGUCAUGGAUAUAAGCCCGGUGGAAAUAACGUCUGCAAAGAGAGCUCUUUCAACAGAAGGUGAGUCGGACAAUCGUCAGCCUCCCCCCAAAAAUCAAAAGAAGAUCCGAAAGCCCCCUUCCAAGGAGGCUAAGGAACAUGAGGCAGCCUCAACUUCAUCUGAAAUAGUGACCGGCACGCAGUCCAAGGACCUCCCAGUGAAAUAUGGUGCCUUUACAAAGGCCCCAUAUGUUUUACACUUUAGACUGCCCUCCUCAAAGACGGACAAGGAAAAGACGAGAAAGAGGACCUCCCUGCUAAAGGUAUCAAAAAUGCUUGCUAAUGCCAACGUCAAAUUUUUGAAUCUAAGAAACUAUUCGUUCGACAUGUGGGUGGCUACUUUUCCCACGAAAACGGCAGCUAAUGCAGUACUCUCUAAUAAAUAUAUAAAAGAUGCAGGCUUUGCUGUUUUUAUUCCGGCAUACAAGCUAACACGCAAGAUGGUCAUCAGAAAUAUUCCUAUAGAAUUUUCUCUAGAAGAAAUAAAGAAGGCAAUAGAGGAGGAAAACUCCGACAUUAUGAUACAUAAUAUUUUUAGAUUAAAGAAGAAGGAUCGCACCACUGCCCUAUGGACCGACUCAGAAAAUAUAUGUGUGCAAAAAAUGGGGGAGGACAUCCCAGAGAGCCUCCUUAUCAUGCGCACAAUAAACACAGUCACACCCUACAUCUCAUCGGUCAGACUAUGUUAUAAAUGUGGCUAUUUUGGUCACAUUAGCAAAUACUGCGAAAGGAAUCCAAGAUGUCUUCAAUGUGGAGAGAGUGAUCACCAAAGCUCAAAGGAUCAGCCGUGCCAAAAGGAAAAAAAAUGCAUAAACUGCUCCGGUUCUCAUUCAACCACAGAUAGAGAGUGCCCUCUUUACGUUAGAAACGCUGAAAUAGCAAGAGUGAUGGCUUAUGAUAAUCUCUUUGAGGCCAAAACUCUGGUUAUCAGGCAAGAAAAGAAGACACCUGUAAUAACACCGCCGAAAACAAUCAAGAAUUUUCCCCUUCUCCCACAAAAGAAGGGAGUGUCUUUGGUCGACAAUCCGGCUAUGUUCCAGUCAUCAGUCAAGAGCGAUCGGUUAUGGACACAAUUAUUCACCCAUUGCGCGGCAGAGGUUAAGGCUAGAGCGUACCGCCUGCUGGACUGGCUGCUGGAAUUAGAAGAAAUUGAUGACCUAUUUGACAGGAUGGAGAAGACUUUGGAAAACCACAAGAUAGUAGUGGAACACACAAAACAAAAAAGACUUGGCUAACUAAUCAAAAUACUUUCCUCUUGAGAGGAUUUGACAUAAUUAGGAAGGACAGAGAGAACAGAAAAGGCGGCGGAGUGGCGAUAAUUGUGUCUCACUCUCUUAAGUAUCGAGCCAUCCAGAUACCAUACGAUUGCUUAGGCAAGAUAGAGGUUUGUGCGGCGGAAAUUUUUCUUGUCGGUGAGUCUUUAAUACUAAUAGCAUGUUACCGCCCUCCUAAUUUAGGAGUUAUUACAGAUGACGAAUGGAGUAGAUUUAUUAAUCAAUUUGGAAACCAUAUUUUGGUUAUUUUUGCCGGAGAUUUUAAUGCUCACAAUGGGCAUUGGGGCUUGAAUUAUUCAUGCCCAAACGGUAGAAAUUUAUGAUCGGCUAUUGAGGAUUCGGAUUUUGCACUGGUUGGGGAUGGUUCUCCAACUUUUUGUGGUGACGCUAUUAGAAGCCCUUCUACUAUCGACCUCACUAUUUGUCAUGUAUCUAUGCUACCUAAAAUCUAAAGAACGGUCCUCCCAGACGCAUGGGGUAGCGAUCAUUUCCCGAUCUGUGUCGAAACAUUCUAUUCCCAAAAUAUAGCAAAAAACCGAUGAAAAGGCCCCCACUAUAUAAUAAGUCAACCAACUGGAAAAAUUUCCAAAUAAUUAUGGAUGCUGAUGUCAAAAAUCUUAUUACAGACCAAGAAAAUGAUGUUCUUAGUAUAUACACUAAGCAUAUACACAACUUUUGUGGCCUCAAUCGAAAAGGCUGUAAAGGAAGCAUCAGCCCCGCUUAAGGACCGCCUUUCCAUAGGCCCUCCUCCGUGCUUAUGGUGGUCAAGAGAAUGCGACAAUCUCGUCAAUGAUAGAAAACUGGCAUGGCACAGAUUUAACAUCACGAGAAAUUACGAAGAUUUUGAGCGCUACAAACAGCAAUGUGCAUUAACGAAAAAAGGACUGCGCAGAAUUAAAUAUGAAAAGUUUAAAGAAUUCAAUGAAUCAAUUAAAAAAGACACCAGCCCAACAUUUAUCUGGAACACUGUUAAAAAAUUUGAUUCAAGAUGGAACCGUAUUGAAAACAGUCAGUCAAUAUCCGAAGAUAAGAUUGAAACAAUCUCCAAACAAAUAGACGAACUCUUUCCCCCUUGGGUCCCUCCCCCCACGCCAGAUCUUAUGUCUCCAGGAUCAGAUAACUUUAUGGACCUUCCUUUUACUCACGAGGAACUAACUUGGGCUAUAGAGUCAGUUAACGUGAAAUCGAGUCCAGGUAUCGAUAGAAUUGAUUACAAAAUUAUUAAAAAUUUCUCCCCGAUGGGCAGAUCGGUUCUUCUUAGAAUUUUUAAUCUGAUUUUUAGAAAAGGUCUUUUUCCAGAAGAAUGGAGGAAAUAUCUAGUUUGCUUCAUUCCUAAAACAGGCAAAAACAAGUUCCGCCCAAUUUCGUUGUCAUCGUACCUAGGAAAGAUAAUGGAAAGAAUGAUUACCAAUCGUCUUCUUUGGUGGUUGGAAGUCAAUAACGUUCUCCCGUCCUCACAAUUUGGCUUCCGUAAGCAAAAAUCCUGUAUGGAUAAUUUGUCAAUUCUUUACGCUGAUAUUAUUGGGGGUUUUGAAGAAAAGAGGAAUGUUCCUGCGGUUUUCCUAGACAUCAAGGCCGCCUAUGACAACGUUCUACCGAAUAUAUUAAUCAAUAAUUUACUGGAAAUAGGAAUUAGACGUCAAAAGAUAUGCAUAUAAAGGCCUUCCGCAAGGAAGUGUCUUAAGUCCUAUUCUAUACACACUGUAUGUCCAAGAUUUGGAUAGAUAUUGCCA